This 578-nucleotide ribosomal RNA is filed under the name uncultured Haloferula sp. RNAcentral's name for it is "bacterial SSU rRNA". It matches the Rfam family "Bacterial small subunit ribosomal RNA", at positions 102 to 679 of the family's 1533-position model. Lineage: Bacteria; Pseudomonadati; Verrucomicrobiota; Verrucomicrobiia; Verrucomicrobiales; Verrucomicrobiaceae. The record is from RNAcentral.
ACGGGUGCGUAACACGUGAGUUACAUGCCCUGCAGUGGGGAAUAGCCCGCCGAAAGGCGGAUUAAUACCCCAUGGUCCCGCAAGGGUAAAGGUGGCCGCAAGGCUGCCGCUGCAGGAUUGGCUCGCGGCCUAUCAGCUAGUUGGCGGGGUAACGGCCCACCAAGGCGACGACGGGUACCUGGUCUGAGAGGAUGAUCAGGCACACUGGAACUGAGACACGGUCCAGACACCUACGGGUGGCAGCAGUCGAGAAUAAUUCACAAUGGGGGAAACCCUGAUGGUGCAACGCCGCGUGGAGGAUGAAGGUCUUCGGAUUGUAAACUCCUGUCAUCGGGGAGUAAGACCUGGCGGUAAAUAGCCGACAGGGUUGAUAGUACCCGAAGAGGAAGGGACGGCUAACUUCGUGCCAGCAGCCGCGGUAAUACGAAGGUCCCAAGGGUUGUUCGGAAUCACUGGGCGUAAAGGGAGCGUAGGCGGCGUGGUAAGUCAGAUGUGAAAUCCCGGGGCUCAACCCCGGAACUGCAUCCGAUACUGCCGUGCUUGAGGGUUGGAGAGGUAGCUGGAAUUAUCGGUGUAGC